AAUAAUUUUAGAUUUAAAGAAAAGUUGUAAAAAUAGUACAGCAAGUCCUUGUAUACCUUCUACCAAGCUUUUGCUAAUGUUAAUGUCUUAAAGAACCAUAGUAUAAUUAUCAACAUAAGGAAAUCAGCAUCUCUACAAGAUAAAUAAUAAAACCACAGAUCUUAUUUGGAUUUACCAGUAUUUCCAUUAACAUCCUCUUUCUAUUCCAGGAUCCUACAUUGCAUUUAGUUGCCAUAUCUCCUUAGUCUCCUCCAGUCUGUGACUGCUUCCUCAGUCUUUCCUUGCUUUUCAUGAAUUUGACACUUGAAAAGUAUGCUAGUCUGUUAUAUCAAAUGUCUCUCAGUUCAGGAUUGUCUCAUGUUUUCUCUUGAGUAUAUUAAAGUUAUGUUUUUGGCAACCACGCCAUAGAAAUGAUGCUAUUCCCCUCUCAGUUUAUCAUUUCAGAAUGUAAAUUAUACUGAAAUAUUUUAUCACUGGUGAUGUUAACCUUGGUUAAGUGGUAUCUGCCAGGUUUCUCCACAGUAAUUUCUCCCCUUAUAAUCAAUGGUUUUUAUUAAUUUGGUUUUUUUAACAGAAAACAAGCGUAGAAUAAAGAAAUUGUUCCAGUUCCUCAAAAGCAUUGUGACUAGUUGGUUAAUACUAAUCUUAUCUCAUAUGUUUUACAAUUUUAACAUCUUCUUUGCAGGUAGUUAUGUUGGGGAAAUAACUUUUUGAAUAGCCUUAACCUUAAUGGCUCUUUUCAGAGCCGUUAUUUAACUUGAAGUUUGCUGCAAAAGAACUUAAUAGGAAUGCCAAGAAAUGUGAUGAAGAAGAAAAGGCUGAAAAGGCCAAGAUUAAAAGGUAACAAGUCCAUAUGAGGCAUAGUUAAGUCUGUGGGUGCUUCAUUGAGGAGUAGAACCUUGAAAAGACUUCAGCCUUGAUGAACAAAUUCGAACACCAGUUUGAAAUAUUGGAUAUUCAAACACAACAAAUGGAAGAUAAAAUGAGUAACUCUACAACCCUAACAACACCACAAGAAGGAGAGUGAAUCGGGUCUCCCUUACUCCAUUUUGACCAGAUAUGGAAGAUGAGGAAACUGAAUGUGAUCUGAUACUCAAGAUAGCUGCUUUGCAGUAUUUCCCUCCAUGGUUAUACAGGAUUUUGACUUCAGCAUGUGUGUGGUCUUGAAGGCCACUUAGGAUGAGACUGAUUGCAGGAGACUAAGGAUAUUGGCUAUGAUACCUUCUAUAUUUAUAAGGUAGAGUAUGGCUUACAAAAUGCCAUAAUAUUAUUAUUAUUUUUUUUAACCAACAUCUAUUCCUUCUUUUUAUAGUAACCACAUACUGAUUUUUUCUGGUAAAGAUCCCCUUUUCAGUCUCCGUCUAUGUGAGUCUGGCAGGGAUGACAUCACUCUGAAACAAGCAGAGUUGUCACAUGACCCAGAUCUGACCAACCAGAAUCCCUGCCACCUAAAUCAUAGAUAUUUAGUUUAGGGAUGGGCAAAUUGGCCUAGGAAUUAACUCCAUAAUUUUUGCUAGAUCUAUCGGAAAGAAUCCAUUUCAUUCCACUGGAUUUGUAGUUAGUCAGAUAUAGGAAUAGAGCUACUGAAGGCAACCCGCAUGCCCAGUCAUACAUACACAGAAAGAAAAAUAGAGACCAACUCCUUUUGACAUUUUUGAGACCCUGGAUUCUCCUAGAGUUUUCAAUUAUGAAUGAAUUCCCUUUAUUUCUAAAGCCAAUUUGAGUUAGGUUUCUACCAAUUGCACAUGGAAAAUUCUGACUCACACAUAAGUGAUUAUUGUCAGAGAUAAGGGAGAUAAGUAAGGAGAUAAAUAAUUUCACCAAUGCUUGAAAUACAAAGUAGAAAGUAUUCACUCCUACAUGAUUUCAGGGAAAAGAGAAAUUGUAAUAAAAAUACAGAAGUACGAUUUUUGUGUACCUAUGCUAAAUAUUGUAUAUACAUGAUCUCAUUUAAUCCCCAGGUAAGCCUAAGUCAGUAAAUAUUUAUUUUUAUUUAAUUGAUAAAGAAACAUAGCCUUGGAGAGAGAAGAUAAUUUUCCUAAAAUCAUGCAGCUAGAAAAUGACAGAAGCAACGGAGUAAACUCUCUUUCUUGCUUCAAUGUUUUAAAACUUCAUUAUUCUUCGGUGUGGCAUUGAGGAAUCUGAGAGGGCUUUGUGAAGAAAAUGGACCUUGGAAGAUGAAUGUUGGAGGAAAGGAAGGGUAUUCCAGGUAGCAAGAAGGGCAAGAACAAAGGGACAAUGUUAAAUGUCUGAAUUUGAUUAUUGUACCAUUAUCAUGUAAAAAUCUGUGCUUGUUGUUUGGAAAUACACACUGAAAUAUUUA
Molecule: long non-coding RNA, 2323 nt
Organism: Cercocebus atys (sooty mangabey)
Lineage: Eukaryota; Metazoa; Chordata; Mammalia; Primates; Cercopithecidae
Exons: 4
Source: RefSeq, a predicted model, not a curated record